AGAGUUUGAUCAUGGCUCAGAACGAACGUUAGCGGUGUGGAUUAGGCAUGCAAGUCGAGCGUGAAAGUGCCUUCGGGUACAAGUAAAGCGGCGAACGGGUGAGUAACACGUAAUCAACCUACCCCCGAGACUGGAAUAACCACGGGAAACCGUGGGUAAUGCCAGAUGCCCACUUCGAAAGGCAUCUUUUGAAGUGGAAACGGUGGCUUCGGCCAUUGCUUGGGGAGGGGAUUGCGGCCUAUCAGCUUGUUGGUGGGGUAAUGGCCUACCAAGGCGACGACGGGUAGCGGGUCUGAGAGGAUGGUCCGUCACACUGGGACUGAGACACUGCCCAGACUCCUACGGGAGGCUGCAGUCGAGAAUCUUCCGCAAUGGGCGAAAGCCUGACGGAGCGACACCGCGUGCAGGAUGAAGGCCCUAGGGUCGUAAACUGCUGUCACGCCCUAGGAAAGCUGCUCGGUUAAUACCCGUGCGGUUGACCAAGGCGAAAGGAAGCACCGGCUAACUCCGUGCCAGCAGCCGCGGUAAUACGGAGGGUGCAAACGUUGUUCGGAAUCACUGGGCAUAAAGAGCACGUAGGCUGCCUAGCCAGUCUGGUGUGAAAGCCCCCGGCUCAACCGGGGAACUACAUCGGAUACUACUAGGCUCGAGGACGGCACGGGUGAGUGGAAACUUCAGUGGAGCGGUGAAAUGCGUAGAUAUCUGAGGACACGGGUGGCGAAAGCGGCUCACUGGGCCGUCCUGACGCUGAGUGCGAAAGCUAGGGGAGCAAACGGGAUUAGAUACCCCGGUAGUCCUAGCCGUAAACGAUGGGCACUAGAUAGGGGAGGCGCCUAUGGUCUUCUCUGUCGUAGCUAAUGUGUUAAGUGCCCCGCCUGGGGAGUACGCUCGCAGGGGUAAAACUCAAAGGAAUUGACGGGGGAUCACACAAGCGGUGGAGCAUGUGGUUUAAUUCGAAGCAACGCGAAGAACCUUACCCGGCCUUGACAUGCAUGGAUUAGCUCCUUGAAAGGGGAGUGACGCCUCUUCGGAGGUGGAACAUGUGCAGGUGUUGCAUGGCUGUCGUCAGCUCGUGUCGUGAGAUGUUGGGUUAAGUCCCGUAACGAGCGCAACCCUUAUCGUUAGUUGCCAGCGCGUAAUGGCGGGGACUCUAGCGAGACUGCCGUUGUCAAAACGGAGGAAGGUGGGGACGACGUCAAGUCAUCAUGGCCCUUAUGGCCGGGGCGACACACGUGCUACAAUGGUCCGUACAAAGGGUUCCGAGGCCGCAAGGUGGAGGCAAUCCCAGAAAGCGGGCCCCAGUUCGGAUUGCAGGCUGCAAUUCGCCUGCAUGAAGCCGGAAUCGCUAGUAAUCGCGUAUCAGCCAUGACGCGGUGAAUAUGUUCCUGAUCCUUGUACACACUGCCCGUCAAGCCACGAAAGCGGGGAGCGCUCGAAGUCGCUUUGUCUAACCUUCGGGAGGACGGUGCCGAAAGCGAGCUCCGUGAUUGGGACUAAGUCGUAACAAGGUAACCGUA
RNAcentral lists this ribosomal RNA (1517 nucleotides) under uncultured bacterium. Its description in RNAcentral is "bacterial SSU rRNA". It matches the Rfam family "Bacterial small subunit ribosomal RNA". The record is from RNAcentral.